CUUGACCGAGCCGAGCAGCAGCGGCUGCUCGCGGUCCUGUCCGUAGGUCGCGAGCAGGGCCUGGGCCUC
Non-coding RNA from Marchantia polymorpha subsp. polymorpha, 69 nucleotides. It matches the Rfam family "ASpks TB sRNA". NCBI's taxonomy places the organism in Eukaryota, Viridiplantae, Streptophyta, Marchantiopsida, Marchantiales, Marchantiaceae. The record is from Rfam.